Molecule: ribosomal RNA, 261 nt
Filed under: Vibrio parahaemolyticus
Lineage: Bacteria; Pseudomonadati; Pseudomonadota; Gammaproteobacteria; Vibrionales; Vibrionaceae
Description: partial 16S ribosomal RNA
Rfam family: Bacterial small subunit ribosomal RNA
Source: RNAcentral
AGAGGGGGGUAGAAUUUCAGGUGUAGCGGUGAAAUGCGUAGAGAUCUGAAGGAAUACCGGUGGCGAAGGCGGCCCCCUGGACAGAUACUGACACUCAGAUGCGAAAGCGUGGGGAGCAAACAGGAUUAGAUACCCUGGUAGUCCACGCCGUAAACGAUGUCUACUUGGAGGUUGUGGCCUUGAGCCGUGGCUUUCGGAGCUAACGCGUUAAGUAGACCGCCUGGGGAGUACGGUCGCAAGAUUAAAACUCAAAUGAAUUGA